This is an RNA transcript of Triticum aestivum (bread wheat), 1625 nucleotides long. RefSeq lists it as uncharacterized. The record is from RefSeq and is a predicted model, not a curated record. The transcript has 5 exons. Lineage: Eukaryota; Viridiplantae; Streptophyta; Magnoliopsida; Poales; Poaceae.
CUUUGUCCAAUCCGCUCCGCGUGCUCGCACCGUACCCAAUCCCAUCCUCUCCCCUGGUCGUCCCGAUCCACCCCAGCCGCCGCACAACCCUAGCCCCUUUCCCCUCGAUCCCCAUAGCCCCUCCCUCCUCCUUGCUCUCCGCCAUGGCCUCUGCACUAGGAGCCUCUCCAUGGCCUCCUACCCAUCCCCCCACCACCAUAGGUGCACACAGACGGUGGAUCCGUGCCGGAGAAGAGCAGCUCCAGUUAUGGUGGGGUGCAUCUGUGCCGAAGAUGAAGGAGGUCCGCCGCCCGUCUUUGCCUCCUCGCUGCGUCCUUGUUGCUGCUCCUCCUCUAUCUCUCUCCGCACCUAGCAGUGCAGCAGCCGGGACAAGGGGAAGGAGCAGCCCGACCCGGCUCCAUCUCUCUCCUUCAUGCAGGAGAACUGGAUGAGCAGGUGGCGAGGGAAGCUGCCACGGCUAGCGGCGGCGCUGCACAGGAACGUCCACCUCCAGGGACCAGAUCUUGGCUAUGAUCUAUGAUGCUGAUUUGGCUAUCAACUGCUAAAUCUACGAAUCAUUCAAAAUGUUUUGCCUAACUGCACAAGCCUUGCAUAUGACCACUGGGCCAUGUCUUUUGUGAGCCCCCAUAAUUCUUUUGUUCUAUUGAUGUUUUGCCUAACUGCACAAGCCUUGCAUAUGACCACUGGGCCAUGUCUUUUGUGAGCCCCCAUAAUUCUUUUGUUAUAUUGAUGUCGUGGAGUUCAGUAGAUUAGUAAAAGGGUCUUUUGAUUUUGUUGAGUUCAGUAGAUUAGUAAAGGGUCUUUUGAUUUUGUUGGCCAUAUAGGAUUUUACUACUGCUAUGGAAAAAAGAAGGCUAAAGCUGGGAAAGACAACAAUGUCAGGAGCCAACCGAGGUAAAGAAACCUAAGUUGACAAGCAGGGCGUACUCCCCUCUGCAGUUAUUUUUCUCUGCUAUUCAUUGAGCAUAUCAGGAGAUUGAUAGACAGUGUGAGAACUGAUCCAAAAUGCCGAGAAGCAGGGUUUAUUUUCUCUCAUCACCAUAACAAAGGGGAGACUCCAGGGAGAGAGAGGAAAGCUGCGCAAGUGCCCCUGGAAGCGAGGCAGCUCGGCGCCGUCGCGGAAGAGGAGCUACGCUUCCAUGGAGUAGAGCGACGAGGGGCUCCGGCGUCGCUGUAGAGGAGGGAGGAGAUCCGCCGCCACUGCACCUGACAAUUCGACAGGAACCUCUCUGGAUGAUUCUGUCAAUUCUGGUGUUAUGCAUUUUUGAAAGUGUUGUGCAAUGGCAGAAAUUGGCAAGAGGACACCUCAACUUGGUAUGAGGUUCAUAGAUUCGGAUGAGGCUUGGGUGUUUUGGGUAGAAUAUGGUGAGGAAAAGAUGCAAGUUUGAUGGAAAAGCGACUUCACACAUAUUUGUGUGUUCCAAUGAGGGCAUUAGAAGGAAAGCGCAAACUGAUUGUGAGCCAAAGCGCAAACCCUGUAUAUGUACUGAUUUUAUUUUAGCCUAUCUCUGCUCAUGUGUGCAUCUGGUUCACUCUUUGGAUUAAACUAUAGCCAAGUGUACAACUAUACUUGCCUAAUAUAUCCAGUGUUCAGUGUCAAAAUUGUCCAGUUUGAAAAGGUUCCA